GAUGAACGCUGACAGAAUGCUUAACACAUGCAAGUCUUUGGCGAAGCUGUGCUUGCACAGCCUAGCCAAGGCGGACGGGUGAGCAACGCGUAAGGAACUUGCCCUGCAGUCAGGGAUAACAGACGGAAACGACUGAUAAGACCUGGUAAAGUCAGGCGGACUCAUGUCCAGCCUGAUGAAAAGAGAUGCUGCAGGAGAGCCUUGCGUCCUAUUAGCUUGUUGGUGGGGUAACGGCCCACCAAGGCGAUGAUAGGUAGCCGGCCUGAGAGGGUGGACGGCCACAAGGGGACUGAGAUACGGCCCUUACUCCUACGGGAGGCAGCAGUGGGGAAUAUUGGACAAUGGGGGCAACCCUGAUCCAGCAAUUCUGUGUGCACGAUGAAGGUUUUCGGAUUGUAAAGUGCUUUCAGCAGGGAAGAAAAAAAUGACGGUACCUGCAGAAGAAGCGACGGCUAAAUACGUG
RNAcentral lists this ribosomal RNA (463 nucleotides) under uncultured bacterium. RNAcentral's name for it is "partial 16S ribosomal RNA". It matches the Rfam family "Bacterial small subunit ribosomal RNA", at positions 28 to 507 of the family's 1533-position model. The record is from RNAcentral.